UGCCAGCAGCCGCGGUAAUACGGAGGGUGCAAGCGUUAAUCGGAAUUACUGGGCGUAAAGCGCACGUAGGCGGCUGUUUAAGUCGGAUGUGAAAUCCCCGGGCUCAACCUGGGAACUGCAUCCGAUACUGGGCAGCUAGAAUUUGGGAGAGGCGAGUGGAAUUUCCGGUGUAGCGGUGAAAUGCAUAGAGAUCGGAAGGAACACCAGUGGCGAAGGCGACUCGCUGGACCAAAAUUGACGCUGAGGUGCGAAAGCGUGGGUAGCAAACAGGAUUAGAUA
This 279-nucleotide ribosomal RNA is filed under the name uncultured bacterium. Its description in RNAcentral is "partial 16S ribosomal RNA". It matches the Rfam family "Bacterial small subunit ribosomal RNA", at positions 506 to 784 of the family's 1533-position model. The record is from RNAcentral.